Paramormyrops kingsleyae is the source of this 414-nucleotide long non-coding RNA. RefSeq lists it as uncharacterized. Lineage: Eukaryota; Metazoa; Chordata; Actinopteri; Osteoglossiformes; Mormyridae. The record is from RefSeq and is a predicted model, not a curated record.
UUUUAUGACUAAAAACAACAGAAAACAGAACAAUUCACUUCGUGAGGACAGUAUAUCUCAUCUGGUCAUCAUAUUUUGCGCAUCAGAAUGGCUCGUAGGACGUGCACCCAUUGCCUGGUUUUGAAGGUGAUCUUCAAAAUGUCGGGUAAAGUCUGUGCCUGUUAGAUUGGUCACUAGCCCUGGAGAUAAGUUAUGAGAUCAAGACCAAAUAGAAAAUAACAGUCAAAGUACAACUAUACGAGUUUGCUGAGUUUCCCUAACAAUAACAUGAAAAAACAGCAUACCGUGAUUUGAAGACAAUCCUCUGUGUCCGCUGUCUGGGAGCAAAAUAUAUAAACUGGAGAAGAGCAAGGAAACUAUUCUCGUUAAAAGGGAGCAUGCAUCGGAAGGAAGUAAAACAAUUGAUAAACUUGC